Molecule: long non-coding RNA, 220 nt
Organism: Manacus vitellinus (golden-collared manakin)
Lineage: Eukaryota; Metazoa; Chordata; Aves; Passeriformes; Pipridae
Exons: 3
Source: RefSeq, a predicted model, not a curated record
AAUGCUCACUUUUCUACCACUUGGAUUUCUUCCCUGAGCACUGCAGCGCUUUGGCAUCAGCCAGAACAACAGCAAUGUCAACAGGCUGCUGAAUGCUGGAGUUGAUCAACCACUGCUGUUCACGAGAUCAUCAACAUUUGUGAAGGUCUCUGGUAUUUACGUAUGCAAGGCUGGACAAAAGCACAAAACUGAAGCUUAUUCCUCUCAAGGUGGGUACUUG